CCUCUCAAGCCUGCAGUCCCUUCCUCCCCAGCACCAAAGAAGGAUUGGUGCUCCAUAAUGCAUGCUCUUCCUUCCCUGGGGAACCUCAACAAGCACUACUCUGGUUGUUUACAUUCCUGGCUUUCGCCUAGUUUUCCAGGUUAUCAAGAUUUCUGUCAGGGCCCUCUUCUGAUCCCCUCUAAACAGGUUUUAAGAUGCCAGCUUUAAUGGAGUUACUUCUGAUUUAGUUCACUUUGGCAAGGAAUCACUCCAUGACCCUCCACAGGAUUUGUUGCGUAUCAACUCUCUAAUUGUGCUGCAUAAUGCUUUUGUUUUCCUUACGGGUCCUCCUAGCCCCAAAUCCAUGCCUCAGCAAAAGUCCCACCGUAAGUUCAUCUUCACAUCACAGCCUGAAGGGGGACGAAGAAACAGAGCAUCAGGAUGACAGGAAGAGAAUACAGCAUGGGCUCUUACCUUCCACUCCAUUUUUCCUGUUGUCUGUGGCUUUCCCCUGCUGCAAGAAUAAGAAGACAAAGGACUUUUGCCCCAAACCCAUUUCUGCUGAUGCUUACACUAAGUUGAGACAUUUUAAUCUGUCCUGUCCACAAUAACUCUGUUCAUCCCAUCUGGGUCUUUCACUGAAAGAAAAAUCUCACCUGCUUUAGAGGUGUCUGUUGGUUUGUUAGAGAGCAAUCAAGUCUAGUAAAGAGAUUAAAGGGGCAGUUCCAGAGACAGAUGAGAUACAUGGAAUGGUGUCUACUGGAUGCAUCAAUCUUGCAUCUAGUUACAGUAAAUCAGUGCCACAAUGAACUCAAUCCAUUUCAUGAACACAAGGGCUAAGGGUUCAUUUUACAGCUGAGAGCAGUUUAUUCCCAGAAGUUAAUGCCCUGCAAAAGAAGAUGAAGCAGAUGAAACAUAUCAAGCUGGAAGUCAAA
Molecule: non-coding RNA, 914 nt
Organism: Cyanistes caeruleus (blue tit)
Lineage: Eukaryota; Metazoa; Chordata; Aves; Passeriformes; Paridae
Source: RefSeq, a predicted model, not a curated record